This 253-nucleotide ribosomal RNA is filed under the name uncultured bacterium. RNAcentral describes it as "partial 16S ribosomal RNA". It matches the Rfam family "Bacterial small subunit ribosomal RNA", at positions 524 to 776 of the family's 1533-position model. The record is from RNAcentral.
UACGAAGGGGGCUAGCGUUGCUCGGAAUUACUGGGCGUAAAGCGCACGUAGGCGGCUUCUUAAGUCGGUGGUGAAAUCCUGGAGCUCAACUCCAGAACUGCCUUCGAUACUGGGAGCUCGAGUCCGGGAGAGGUGAGUGGAACUGCGAGUGUAGAGGUGAAAUUCGUAGAAUAUUCGCAAGAACACCAGUGGCGAAGGCGGCUCACUGGCCCGGUACUGACGCUGAGGUGCGAAAGCGUGGGGAGCAAACAGG